CGCCGCCUGCGGUGUUCGAUGCGUGUCGGGUUACCUCUCGACCCUAACGUAAAUACCCCAGGGGCCCGGUCUCGCGGCAGUUGUGUGCAGACCCGUCACGGACGGGAAGCCUUCGCUGCCGUGGCUGCGCCCCACCUAUUGCUCCGUGUCGAGAGCAAUGGCGCGCAACGGCACAGGCGGGUGGCGC
RNAcentral lists this non-coding RNA (187 nucleotides) under Pseudomonadota bacterium. RNAcentral describes it as "6S RNA". It matches the Rfam family "6S / SsrS RNA". From Rfam's summary of the family: E. coli 6S RNA was the first non coding RNA to be sequenced, but its function was unknown until recently. It consists of 184 nucleotides that fold into an extended hairpin structure with a large single-stranded internal bulge. The 6S RNA specifically associates with RNA polymerase holoenzyme containing the sigma70 specificity factor. The record is from RNAcentral. Lineage: Bacteria; Pseudomonadati; Pseudomonadota.